Molecule: ribosomal RNA, 2902 nt
Filed under: Escherichia coli PCN009
Lineage: Bacteria; Pseudomonadati; Pseudomonadota; Gammaproteobacteria; Enterobacterales; Enterobacteriaceae
Description: 23S ribosomal RNA
Source: RNAcentral
AAGGUUAAGCCUCACGGUUCAUUAGUACCGGUUAGCUCAACGCAUCGCUGCGCUUACACACCCGGCCUAUCAACGUCGUCGUCUUCAACGUUCCUUCAGGACUCUCAAGGAGUCAGGGAGAACUCAUCUCGGGGCAAGUUUCGUGCUUAGAUGCUUUCAGCACUUAUCUCUUCCGCAUUUAGCUACCGGGCAGUGCCAUUGGCAUGACAACCCGAACACCAGUGAUGCGUCCACUCCGGUCCUCUCGUACUAGGAGCAGCCCCCCUCAGUUCUCCAGCGCCCACGGCAGAUAGGGACCGAACUGUCUCACGACGUUCUAAACCCAGCUCGCGUACCACUUUAAAUGGCGAACAGCCAUACCCUUGGGACCUACUUCAGCCCCAGGAUGUGAUGAGCCGACAUCGAGGUGCCAAACACCGCCGUCGAUAUGAACUCUUGGGCGGUAUCAGCCUGUUAUCCCCGGAGUACCUUUUAUCCGUUGAGCGAUGGCCCUUCCAUUCAGAACCACCGGAUCACUAUGACCUGCUUUCGCACCUGCUCGCGCCGUCACGCUCGCAGUCAAGCUGGCUUAUGCCAUUGCACUAACCUCCUGAUGUCCGACCAGGAUUAGCCAACCUUCGUGCUCCUCCGUUACUCUUUAGGAGGAGACCGCCCCAGUCAAACUACCCACCAGACACUGUCCGCAACCCGGAUUACGGGUCAACGUUAGAACAUCAAACAUUAAAGGGUGGUAUUUCAAGGUCGGCUCCAUGCAGACUGGCGUCCACACUUCCAAGCCUCCCACCUAUCCUACACAUCAAGGCUCAAUGUUCAGUGUCAAGCUAUAGUAAAGGUUCACGGGGUCUUUCCGUCUUGCCGCGGGUACACUGCAUCUUCACAGCGAGUUCAAUUUCACUGAGUCUCGGGUGGAGACAGCCUGGCCAUCAUUACGCCAUUCGUGCAGGUCGGAACUUACCCGACAAGGAAUUUCGCUACCUUAGGACCGUUAUAGUUACGGCCGCCGUUUACCGGGGCUUCGAUCAAGAGCUUCGCUUGCGCUGACCCCAUCAAUUAACCUUCCGGCACCGGGCAGGCGUCACACCGUAUACGUCCACUUUCGUGUUUGCACAGUGCUGUGUUUUUAAUAAACAGUUGCAGCCAGCUGGUAUCUUCGACUGAUUUCAGCUCCAUCCGCGAGGGACUUCACCUACAUAUCAGCGUGCCUUCUCCCGAAGUUACGGCACCAUUUUGCCUAGUUCCUUCACCCGAGUUCUCUCAAGCGCCUUGGUAUUCUCUACCUGACCACCUGUGUCGGUUUGGGGUACGAUUUGAUGUUACCUGAUGCUUAGAGGCUUUUCCUGGAAGCAGGGCAUUUGUUGCUUCAGCACCGUAGUGCCUCGUCAUCACGCCUCAGCCUUGAUUUUCCGGAUUUGCCUGGAAAACCAGCCUACACGCUUAAACCGGGACAACCGUCGCCCGGCCAACAUAGCCUUCUCCGUCCCCCCUUCGCAGUAACACCAAGUACAGGAAUAUUAACCUGUUUCCCAUCGACUACGCCUUUCGGCCUCGCCUUAGGGGUCGACUCACCCUGCCCCGAUUAACGUUGGACAGGAACCCUUGGUCUUCCGGCGAGCGGGCUUUUCACCCGCUUUAUCGUUACUUAUGUCAGCAUUCGCACUUCUGAUACCUCCAGCAUGCCUCACAGCACACCUUCACAGGCUUACAGAACGCUCCCCUACCCAACAACGCAUAAGCGUCGCUGCCGCAGCUUCGGUGCAUGGUUUAGCCCCGUUACAUCUUCCGCGCAGGCCGACUCGACCAGUGAGCUAUUACGCUUUCUUUAAAUGAUGGCUGCUUCUAAGCCAACAUCCUGGCUGUCUGGGCCUUCCCACAUCGUUUCCCACUUAACCAUGACUUUGGGACCUUAGCUGGCGGUCUGGGUUGUUUCCCUCUUCACGACGGACGUUAGCACCCGCCGUGUGUCUCCCGUGAUAACAUUCUCCGGUAUUCGCAGUUUGCAUCGGGUUGGUAAGUCGGGAUGACCCCCUUGCCGAAACAGUGCUCUACCCCCGGAGAUGAAUUCACGAGGCGCUACCUAAAUAGCUUUCGGGGAGAACCAGCUAUCUCCCGGUUUGAUUGGCCUUUCACCCCCAGCCACAAGUCAUCCGCUAAUUUUUCAACAUUAGUCGGUUCGGUCCUCCAGUUAGUGUUACCCAACCUUCAACCUGCCCAUGGCUAGAUCACCGGGUUUCGGGUCUAUACCCUGCAACUUAACGCCCAGUUAAGACUCGGUUUCCCUUCGGCUCCCCUAUUCGGUUAACCUUGCUACAGAAUAUAAGUCGCUGACCCAUUAUACAAAAGGUACGCAGUCACACGCCUAAGCGUGCUCCCACUGCUUGUACGUACACGGUUUCAGGUUCUUUUUCACUCCCCUCGCCGGGGUUCUUUUCGCCUUUCCCUCACGGUACUGGUUCACUAUCGGUCAGUCAGGAGUAUUUAGCCUUGGAGGAUGGUCCCCCCAUAUUCAGACAGGAUACCACGUGUCCCGCCCUACUCAUCGAGCUCACAGCAUGUGCAUUUUUGUGUACGGGGCUGUCACCCUGUAUCGCGCGCCUUUCCAGACGCUUCCACUAACACACACACUGAUUCAGGCUCUGGGCUGCUCCCCGUUCGCUCGCCGCUACUGGGGGAAUCUCGGUUGAUUUCUUUUCCUCGGGGUACUUAGAUGUUUCAGUUCCCCCGGUUCGCCUCAUUAACCUAUGGAUUCAGUUAAUGAUAGUGUGUCGAAACACACUGGGUUUCCCCAUUCGGAAAUCGCCGGUUAUAACGGUUCAUAUCACCUUACCGACGCUUAUCGCAGAUUAGCACGUCCUUCAUCGCCUCUGACUGCCAGGGCAUCCACCGUGUACGCUUAGUCGCUUAA